UGCGGUAAUUCCAGCUCCAAGAGUAUAUAUUAAAGUUGUUGCGGUUGAAAAGCUCGUAGUUGGAUAUCUGUUGUACUAUUGCAGCCAACCCCCUGGGUUUGACUUGCAUUUCAGUGCAAUACAAAGUACUUCUGCUGUGCACUUUUCACUAAGUGUGCAGCAGUCUACGUUGUUACUUUGAGGAAAGUGAAGUGUUACACGCAGGUUGCGCCGUGAACAUGCUAGCAUGGCAUAACAUCAUAUGACUGUGAGUCUUUUUGAGCGGUUUCAGGAAACAUGGUAAUGAUCAACAGGAGGUGUUGGGGAUACUCAUAUUUGACAGCUAGAGGUGAAAUUCUUGGAUUUGUUAAAGAUGAACUAAUGCAAUAGCAUUUAUCAUGGAUGUUUCUGUUAAUCAAGAACGAAAGUUAGGGGAUCGAAGACGAUCAGAUACCGUCCUAGUCUUAACCAUAAACUAUGCCGACUGGACAUUGGAACAUGUGAAGUAAUGAUAUAUUCAGCAUUUUUGCCUGAAAAGAAUAAGUUUGUGGGCUCUGGGGGGAGUAUGGUUGCAAGACUGAAACUUAAAAGAAUUGACGGAAGGGCACCACCAGGAGUGGAGCCUGCGGCUUAAUUUGACUCAACACGGGAAAUCUCACCAGGUCCAGACAUAUUCAGGAUUGACAGAUUAAUUGUYCUUUCUCAAUCGUAUGGGUGGUGGUGCAUGGCCGUKCUUAGUUGGUGGAGUGAUUUGUCUGGUUAAUUCCGUUAACGAACGAGAUCCAAAUCUGCUAACUGUUACAACAUUCUUUGGAAUGAGAUUACACUUAGAGGGACAUUGCGUGUUUAAUGCACGGAAGAGUUGGGCAAUAACAGGUCUGYGAUGCCCUUAGAUGUCCUGGGCUGCACGCGCGCUACAAUGAUAUACGCCCCAAUGAAUGUAGACCUGGUAAGGAUAUUCAAUUAUGCAAAGAUGUCGUACCGGGAAUAGAUGAUUGUAAUUCUUUAUCUUGAACGAGGAAUUCCUAGUAAGAACACAUCAACAGUUUGUGCUGAUUACGUCCCUGCCCUUUGUACACACCGCCCGUCGCUCCUACCGAUUGAGUAAUCCGGUGAAUGACGAUGAUUGUGCAAUGCUACACAGCUUUGCGUGAAAAACAUCGUGAACCUCACUACUUAGAGGAAGGAGAAGUCGUAACAAGGUUUCCGUAGGUGAACCUGCGGAAGGAUCAUUUGUGGUUGAUCAAACAACGCUUUGCCAGUGCUGUACGGCCACCCGAACGGAGCAGCGUUUGUUUCAAGACAUACAAUGUACAUCAACGAAUUUCUAGAAUCAAUAUGCGAGGACGAACGUAGCCAAUUGCGAUAAUAUGCGUGAGAUGCUGGUGUUCGAGAAGCGAUAAAUUUUCUAUUGCGUGAAGCGCAAUCAUUCGAUUGCGCACACGAUGCAGGGCAAAGGGCACAGCACGAUCAAUGACUUUGGUGCACACUUUAGUUUUGGUCUGUGUGUUAGUGGAUUGGAACAAGAUGUCCAAUCCUGUUGAUCAACAUUUACAAUAACUAUUAAGCAAAUGCGCCGCCUGUCAUUGUAUGAGAAUACCCGCUGAACUUAAGCAUAU
Molecule: ribosomal RNA, 1598 nt
Filed under: Oxyrrhis marina
Lineage: Eukaryota; Dinophyceae; Oxyrrhinales; Oxyrrhinaceae
Description: SSU rRNA
Rfam family: Eukaryotic small subunit ribosomal RNA (bases 1-1214)
Source: RNAcentral